GACGUAGGGCGCGAGCGUUGUCCGGAAUUAUUGGGCGUAAAGCGCGCGCAGGCGGUUCUUUAAGUCUGGUGUUUAAACCCGAGGCUCAACUUCGGGUCGCACUGGAAACUGGGGAACUUGAGUGCAGAAGAGGAGAGUGAAAUUCCUGGUGUAGCGGUGAAAUGCGCAGAUAUCAGGAAGAACACCCGUGGCGAAGGCGGCUCUCUGGGACGGUACUGACGCUGAGACGCGAAAGCGUGGGGAGCGAACAGG
This 252-nucleotide ribosomal RNA is filed under the name uncultured bacterium. RNAcentral describes it as "partial 16S ribosomal RNA". It matches the Rfam family "Bacterial small subunit ribosomal RNA", at positions 524 to 776 of the family's 1533-position model. The record is from RNAcentral.